Molecule: transfer RNA, 87 nt
Filed under: Methanobacteriota archaeon
Lineage: Archaea; Methanobacteriati; Methanobacteriota
Description: Euryarchaeota archaeon tRNA-Leu
Rfam family: tRNA
About the family: Transfer RNA (tRNA) molecules are approximately 80 nucleotides in length. Their secondary structure includes four short double-helical elements and three loops (D, anti-codon, and T loops).
Source: RNAcentral
GCCCUCGUGGUGAAAUAGGUAAACACAACGGACUUAAAAUCCGUCGCCGAAUUAGGCUUGCCAGUUCGAUUCUGGCCGAGGGCACCA